GAGAAUAUUUUGGUCACUCUUGUAAAAUUGUGUAAUUGUAUUGUAUUGAUAAAAUUAUUUUAGAGCAGGAGGAGGAAAUAAAGAAAUCAUAAUCCUCAUCUUUUCAUCGAUUGAGCUAUGAUCAAUUUAGAGGACUAAAUUUUCUUUUAAGGGGGGGAGAGUGUAAUAUCCCUCACUUUUAAAAAUUAUUAAUAAAGAUUUAUUUAUAAAUUGGAGGACCUAUAUGUAAAUAUAAAAAUUUCAAGGACUAAACUGUUAAGUUACCAAAAAAAAAUAAAAAAUUUCGGUUUUAUCCCACCGCCUCCCACGCUCUCUCUGUUUCUCGAGAGAGGAGCGGUGGGGCGUAGGGAGAAGAAGAAGAGAAGUAGAGGGAGAAGAGAAGAAGAGGGAAAAGAAGAGAGGAAGAAGAGGGAGAAGAGAAUAAAAGAAGAAGAAGAAGAGAGGGAAGAGGGAGAGGAAAGAGAGAUAGCUGCAGCAGCUAGGGUUGCAGCACCUCUGUUUCGUGUUGGAGGAAACAGAGGAAUCCAUGUGGGGCGUCGGGGAGUAGAAGGGAAGAAGAGGAGAAGAAGAGGAGAAGAAGAGAAGCAGAGGAAGAGAAGCAAAAGAAGAAGAAGAAGAAGAAAAGAGGAGGUGGCUGCGGCAAGGGCUGCAGCGAGGAGCUGUGGGGCGUUGGGGAGGAGAAAGGAAGAAGAGGAGAAGAAGAAAAGAAGAAGAGGGAAAAGAAGAGAGGAGGAAGAAGAGGGAGAAGAGAAGAAUAGAAGAAGAAGAAAAAGAGAGGGAAGUGGGAGAGGAGCGAGAGGUGGCAGCAGCUAGGGCUGCAGCACCUCUGUUUCCUGCAGGUGGAAACAGAGGAGAGGUGUGGGGCAUUCGAAGAGGAGAAGAAGAAGAAGAGGAAGAGAAGAAGAAGAGGAAGUAGGA
This 918-nucleotide long non-coding RNA is filed under the name Musa acuminata (dwarf banana). RNAcentral describes it as "long non-coding RNA (MACU_LNC001231)". Lineage: Eukaryota; Viridiplantae; Streptophyta; Magnoliopsida; Zingiberales; Musaceae. The record is from RNAcentral.